GAGGGGAGAGGAGCAAAUGGUUAUUCUCAGGCGCUCCUUCUACUACAAACUUGGAGCAGAGGCCUUUGAGCUAAUUAAUUACAUUCUGUAUAUCUGAGCCAGCUAGCAGAGCUCCUCGCUGACACUCGGAUACAUCUGGGCCUGAUAACAAUUGCAAAUACUCAGGGCACACUUUAGGGGAAAAAAAAAAAAAAAGGCUUAUGUUACAAUGUGCAACAGCACGUUUUACAGUCCUCGGAUCAGUCAGAUAAAUAAAACAGCUCGAGUCCAGGGCUUGGUGGGGGGAAACGUACUUGGUAACAUUUCACCUAGAGCAGAAAAAGUUCCCCACUGACAAGGGACCAGUUUGACCCGAAGAAAAUGUUCAGUUCCUCCGAGGGACAGUUUUGGAGAUUUGGGUCCGACGUGGGAGCGUAGAAGAGAAUUUACAAGAAACUCCUUCUGCGCAUCCAUCCGAGGAGCGGGUGUAGACAUGAAGAGACUGCGCGUUCCUCGGCCGCGUUCGGGGUAAAUACUCAAAAGAUCAUGAAGCAAAUAAACACGGAUUUUCUUGAGGAAAAUGAAUGGGCCCAGAGACCGCGUUUCAUGCCUUACUGAACCCCCGACCCACUCGCUUCGAAGGCCAUCUGUCCUGGAGACAAAAAGACCACUUUUUGAAAAAGAUGCCGUUGUUGGUGUGCGAAUCCUGGAAGGAGCCAAGAUUUGGGAAAAUUGUCUCUGCCACCUUCUAAGCUACUCUUCAUAUCAAGUAACACCCAACUCAUGGGAUUGGGACACGUUUUGUGCUCGAGUGAACGACAUCAUUAUAACGGGAGACGGCGACUCUUAGCCCUCCGUCCACCUCUUCACGUAGCUUCGGUACUUUCGGAGGUUUAAUUUCUACAGAACAGUACCAAGCAGAGAGAACUGUGGAUCUUCACUCACAAGAAGGUCAAAUAGCAACCAAACUGCUUUAUUGAGACCUAUCCUGUUUGAGGCACUGUUAUGUUUAGUAUUAAGAAGGUCUAAGUUUUCUCAUCUUUAAAUGGGAAAUAUGAAACUCAAAAGAAGUUAACAGCCACAUGCCCAAAGUCAAUCAGUCAGUAGGUCAAAAAUACUGAUUGAGAGCUGAGAAUUGGCCCAAAAUAUUUUCACUAAAAAUGCGUGAUCGAGUAACACAAAGACAAAUAAUUUGACUAUGCUACAUGAUUGGCUAUUUUAACUGCUAAGCAGAUACAUUGUGCCUUAUGAACACAGCCAUUCAUCGCAAGGGGCACCUGGAUGGCUCAGUCGGUUGAGCAUCUGAUUCUGCUCA
This is a long non-coding RNA of Leopardus geoffroyi (Geoffroy's cat), 1294 nucleotides long. RefSeq lists it as uncharacterized. The transcript is spliced from 7 exons. The record is from RefSeq and is a predicted model, not a curated record. Lineage: Eukaryota; Metazoa; Chordata; Mammalia; Carnivora; Felidae.